This 523-nucleotide unclassified non-coding RNA is filed under the name Hevea brasiliensis (rubber tree). The record is from RNAcentral. Lineage: Eukaryota; Viridiplantae; Streptophyta; Magnoliopsida; Malpighiales; Euphorbiaceae.
GAGCGCAGAAAAAUUUUGAUGCCAAUAAGGACAGAUCAUUACCGGUGUUUGGUGUUGGAGUAGCAUUUAUUGAUGAAAGUGCUGUCUACCCAGAUGCUUCUGAGAAAGUGGAUGAUGCAAUUAGAGAGAUGAAAUUGGUUGUCUCAAAGCUAACCCCACCUAUGAAGCAAUUGCAUGUGUUUCCAAUUGAAAAUAUAUAUACUUCAGAUUCAAUUGAAGGGAAGGACAGAUUGACAAAAUUACUAGAUGCUGCGAAUGAUGCGACAGGGAAAGAAGACCUUCUGCUACACCUGCGGAUGUUGGCCUUGCAAAAGGUUGCUUCUGAAAAUGGAUACAACAGGCUUAUUUUAGGAUCUUGCACAUCAAGGAUUGCUUGCCAUGUCCUUGCAGCAACAGUGAAGGGCCAAGGAUAUUCUUUGUCGGCUGAUAUUCAGUAUGUUGAUGCCAGAUGGGAUAUACCAGUAGUUCUUCCGCUUCGUGACUGUACAGCACAGGAGUUGAACUUGCUAUGCCGCAUUGAUGG